RNAcentral lists this ribosomal RNA (254 nucleotides) under uncultured bacterium. RNAcentral describes it as "partial 16S ribosomal RNA". It matches the Rfam family "Bacterial small subunit ribosomal RNA", at positions 524 to 776 of the family's 1533-position model. The record is from RNAcentral.
UACGUAGGCACCAAGCGUUGUCCGGAUUUAUUGGGCGUAAAGAGCUCGUAGGCGGUUCGGUAAGUCGGGUGUGAAAACUCUGGGCUCAACCCAGAGCCGCCACCCGAUACUGCUGUGACUCGAGUGCGGUAGGGGAGCGGGGAAUUCCUGAUGUAGCGGUGAAAUGCGCAGAUAUCAGGAGGAACACCAGUGGCGAAGGCGCCGCUCUGGGCCGUGACUGACGCUGAGGAGCGAAAGCGUGGGUAGCAAACAGG